UCUUGAUGGAGAGUUUGAUCCUGGCUCAGGACGAACGCUGGCGGCGUGCCUAACACAUGCAAGUCGAACGAGAUCCAUUUGGUGCUUGCACCAGAGAAGAUCUAGUGGCGAACGGGUGAGUAGCACGUGAGCAACCUACCCCGAAGACCGGGAUAACACCGGGAAACCGGUGCUAAUACCGGAUACCCUCACAGCAUCACAUGGUGCAGUGAGGAAAUGGAUUCCGCUUCGGGAGGGGCUCGCGGCCUAUCAGCUUGUUGGUGGGGUAAUGGCCUACCAAGGCUUCGACGGGUAGCUGGUCUGAGAGGACGAUCAGCCACACUGGGACUGAGACACGGCCCAGACUCCUACG
RNAcentral lists this ribosomal RNA (352 nucleotides) under Actinomycetota bacterium. RNAcentral describes it as "bacterial SSU rRNA". It matches the Rfam family "Bacterial small subunit ribosomal RNA", at positions 1 to 343 of the family's 1533-position model. The record is from RNAcentral. Lineage: Bacteria; Bacillati; Actinomycetota.